AACGUAGGUACCGAGCGUUAUCCGGAUUUACUGGGCGUAAAGCGCGUUCAGGCGGCUUGACAAGUCGGGCAUGAAAUCUCUCGGCUCAACUGGGAGGGGCUGUCCGAUACUGUCGGGCUUGAGGGCAGUAGAGGGUGGUGGAAUUCCGGGUGUAGUGGUGAAAUGCGUAGAUAUCCGGAGGAACACCAGUGGCGAAAGCGGCCACCUGGACUGUACCUGACGCUCAAACGCGAAAGCUAGGGGAGCGAACGGG
Molecule: ribosomal RNA, 253 nt
Filed under: uncultured bacterium
Lineage: Bacteria
Description: partial 16S ribosomal RNA
Rfam family: Bacterial small subunit ribosomal RNA
Source: RNAcentral